GGUAAAAUGGCUGAGUUUAGGCAUUAGACUGUAAAUCUAAAGACAGAGGGGGAAAAUCCUCUUUUUACCA
This 70-nucleotide transfer RNA is filed under the name Peromyscus megalops (brown deer mouse). RNAcentral describes it as "tRNA-Tyr". It matches the Rfam family "tRNA". From Rfam's summary of the family: Transfer RNA (tRNA) molecules are approximately 80 nucleotides in length. The record is from RNAcentral. Lineage: Eukaryota; Metazoa; Chordata; Mammalia; Rodentia; Cricetidae.